GAGAACUGCUCUGUGGUUUAGGUAGUUUCAUGUUGUUGGGGAUCCACCUUUCUCUCUACAGCACGAAACUGCCUUAAUUACUUCAGUUGAU
Buceros rhinoceros silvestris is the source of this 91-nucleotide non-coding RNA. The record is from Rfam. NCBI's taxonomy places the organism in Eukaryota, Metazoa, Chordata, Aves, Bucerotiformes, Bucerotidae.